RNAcentral lists this non-coding RNA (381 nucleotides) under unidentified. Its description in RNAcentral is "Listeriaceae bacterium T-box sequence". It matches the Rfam family "T-box leader". From Rfam's summary of the family: Uncharged tRNA acts as the effector for transcription antitermination of genes in the T-box leader family. T-boxes are found upstream of many aminoacyl-tRNA synthetase genes and some amino acid biosynthetic genes usually in Gram-positive bacteria. The anticodon of a specific tRNA base pairs to a specifier sequence within the T-box motif, and the NCCA acceptor tail of the tRNA base pairs to a conserved bulge in the T-box antiterminator hairpin. The record is from RNAcentral.
AAAUGUGUUAGCAAAGAAAAUAGUAUGGCUGGGUAACGUUUUUUAGAGAGUCUGUGGUUGGUGGAAACAGAUAGCGACCUUGCUUGAAUGGGUUCUUUGGCAUCAUUUGUGAAUAUGGAAGUAGCAAAUGACGGGUUAGACCGUUAACUCUGGUUAAAAAAUCAUAUAUUCUUGUUGGAAGCUAUAGAUUGCGCUUUACACAAAUCGAGCGAAAGCGUUUGUAUUCUGGGAGUUUGGUGGAACCCGGAAGCGGAGUGUACGACUGUACAUGAGAACCGGAAGUCCGCCAAACUCCCAGAAUGCGAGCGCUUGUCGCCGAUUUAUUCGGAUUGUAGAGCUAGCUUAUUAGGGUGGUACCGCGGAUAUACGUUCGUCCCUAUU